GAUGAACGCUGGCGGCGUGCCUAACACAUGCAAGUCGAACGAACCUAAUCUUCGGAAAGGGUUAGUGGCGCACGGGUGAGUAACACGUAGGUGACCUGCCCCGAAGUGGGGGGAUAACUUCUCGAAAGAGAAGCUAAUACCGCAUAUGCUCAGCCAUUCAGUUGGUUGAGUAAAGCUCCGGCGCUUCGGGAGGGGCCUGCGUCCGAUUAGCUAGUUGGUGGGGUAAUGGCCUACCAAGGCGAUGAUCGGUAGCUGGUCUGAGAGGACGAUCAGCCACACUGGCACUGAGACACGGUCCAGACUCCUACGGGAGGCAGCAGUGGGGAAUAUUGGACAAUGGGGGAAACCCUGAUCCAGCCAUGCCGCGUGUGUGAAGAAGGCCUUCGGGUUGUAAAGCACUUUCAGUUGGGAGGAAAAGUUUGUGGUUAAUACCCACGAGCCGUGACGUUACCAACAGAAGAAGCACCGGCUAACUCCGUG
This 480-nucleotide ribosomal RNA is filed under the name uncultured bacterium. RNAcentral's name for it is "bacterial SSU rRNA". It matches the Rfam family "Bacterial small subunit ribosomal RNA", at positions 28 to 507 of the family's 1533-position model. The record is from RNAcentral.